This 467-nucleotide ribosomal RNA is filed under the name uncultured bacterium. RNAcentral's name for it is "partial 16S ribosomal RNA". It matches the Rfam family "Bacterial small subunit ribosomal RNA", at positions 28 to 507 of the family's 1533-position model. The record is from RNAcentral.
GACGAACGCUGGCGGCGUGCUUAACACAUGCAAGUCGAACGAUGAUCAGGAGCUUGCUCCUGUGAUUAGUGGCGAACGGGUGAGUAACACGUGAGUAACCUGCCCCUGACUCUGGGAUAAGCGUUGGAAACGACGUCUAAUACUGGAUAUGAUCACUGGCCGCAUGGUCUGGUGGUGGAAAGAUUUUUUGGUUGGGGAUGGACUCGCGGCCUAUCAGCUUGUUGGUGAGGUAAUGGCUCACCAAGGCGACGACGGGUAGCCGGCCUGAGAGGGUGACCGGCCACACUGGGACUGAGACACGGCCCAGACUCCUACGGGAGGCAGCAGUGGGGAAUAUUGCACAAUGGGCGAAAGCCUGAUGCAGCAACGCCGCGUGAGGGAUGACGGCCUUCGGGCUGUAAACCUCUUUUAGUAGGGAAGAAGCGAAAGUGACGGUACCUGCAGAAAAAGCACCGGCUAACUACGUG